UCUCAAGAUACAUCAGCAGUGCCAAAUACAGAAGUAAAAGCAUCUGUGCACUUAGGGUUUGGGCUAGGUGACUCAGAAUUGAUUAAUAGUCAUGGGGCUCCCAUCCCACCAUAUGGAAGUAAUCAGUGGCUAUUACAGGUUGUACAACAAGGACAAUAUCCGAAGUUCAAUGGGAUGCAGUAGUGCAUUGAGGUUGAUAUAUGAUGGGGACUGCUAGACUGUGU
Non-coding RNA from Arachis ipaensis, 224 nucleotides. The record is from RefSeq and is a predicted model, not a curated record. Lineage: Eukaryota; Viridiplantae; Streptophyta; Magnoliopsida; Fabales; Fabaceae.